This 182-nucleotide non-coding RNA is filed under the name Candidatus Gallimonas intestinigallinarum. RNAcentral's name for it is "6S RNA". It matches the Rfam family "6S / SsrS RNA". Rfam says of the family: E. coli 6S RNA was the first non coding RNA to be sequenced, but its function was unknown until recently. It consists of 184 nucleotides that fold into an extended hairpin structure with a large single-stranded internal bulge. Lineage: Bacteria; Bacillati; Bacillota; Clostridia. The record is from RNAcentral.
UGACACCUGCGGUGUUCGGAGCGUAAAUUAAGCGGAAUCCACAUAAUAUCAUCGGGAACGCUCGUCGGGGCGGCUAGGCAAGGUCUGUAAUCGCUACGGAAAGUCUGAUGCCGCCGCGCUGCGUACCCACCUGCGAGAAGCGGGUUCACCAUUCUUUGCGGUGCGGCACAGGCGGAUGUCAU